UCAAGCGAUCUGCCCACCUCGGCCUCCCAAAGUGCUGGGAUUACAGGCAUGAACCACCACGCCCCGCCAUGUUCUGUUUCUUAAAUUAGUUGUUGGUGGCAGGACUGUGAUUAGUUUGUGAAAUUUCAGCCGAAUGUGCAUUUUUGUGUACUCAUCUGUGGUCAUGUUAUAUUUCAAUAAAAAGCAGUCUCUGCCAGAACCUACAGGCAAUGAGGUGCCACAGAAGGAGUUGACAUUUGAGAGGCUUGAGAAGGGUUUAAGAGACACAAUCAGAUUUGCAUUAGGAAGAUUAAUCUUUGGCUUUGGAGGAUGACCGGGAAAGGAGUUGGGAGCUAUUUGUAGAACUAAUCCAGGCAAGCAAUUAUGAAGGUCUGAAUUAGAGCAAGGGAAUAGGAAUGAGGACAGGAUACAGCUGAUAUUUAGGAAGUAAACAUGACAGGACGUGAGCCGAUCACUAAAUCCUCCUGCUCAUGUUUCCUUGCUUGAAAAAUAAGGAAUAACAGUACCUACUUCAUUGGGACUAGUUUGAUGAUUUAAUGAGGGGGAGUGGUUUUAGAUUUAUAAAAUAUAUAUAUGCUUAUUGUAUACCAUACCUAGACAUAAGGUAUUAAUAUUAGAAAGCUCUAAGAGAAAUAUCUUGAUUUUGGCAUUGUCCCUGCGACGCUGCCUUCUCCCUGCCUAGGAUGGAUCAGCGUGGGACACAGGGUAGAAGGCAGAGGUACAGAAUACCACAGGACAUGUCAGAACGUGGGCGUGAAACGGGCCCAAGGGACCACGGGUGAAGGUCUAGGACUCUUCCAGCAGCCUGAGCGCCAGCAGAAGGAACCAAAACUAACCCAGGCGUUUCCUCUCCUCCUCCCCAGCCUUUCGGCCGAGAAGCAGACCGGCGGAACGCGACGGGGAUUCAGGCCUAGGGGUGGGCUUGAGGCCGGAAAAAUGGCCAAUGGAACGAGAGCUUCUCCGUGCUUAGCCAAUUGCAUGACCCCCCCCCCAGGACCGCCCCCAUCCGGUGAUUGGCAGACACGUCUCCCAGUGUUGUCGCGGCCUGCUAAGGCUCUCAGAACUCCCGCGAGGGUGCGGGUCUUCCUCCAGCGCUGGGCUACUUGGUCCCGCCCCUCAAGGGUUCACUACUAUUUUCCGCGUUGCUCUCAAUACCUCGUGGAUCUCUGCUUCUCUAAGUCUGAAACCACACUAGAAACACAGCUGUUUUGUUUGGUGAGCCCCUACAUGGAUGUUUCCUUCCAGUUAAGGGGAGCCGGAUUCGGACCUUGGCGACAAACAGACGCCGGGGAACCCUCCGGUCCCACUGGCCACGUGCUCCAGGCUGACUCAUUCCUUCCCCCACCCCGCUCAAGGCUAGGAACAUACCUGCGCUAAGAACUGAGGCAGCUGCACUUCCGCAGACGUAAGAGACGAACUCCUGGAGCUCAAGGUCGGCUGGGGUUGGGUUCCUGUCCCGCACGCGUGGCCCGCCCGAAACCCGCUACAUAGUGGCGCGUCAGCCCUGGGGAAGCAAAGCGCAAAAUUGUUACGGUGCCCAGACCUGCGCCGGGAACCUCCGGCUGUUCCGCUGGGCGCGGCGCCUGUGCCUCGCGCAGCCCCGGGACGGGCACCGCCGCCCGCCCCCCGGGCCGCCGAGGGCUGCUCUACCCCUCCGUUCUGGCCGCCGGGAGCAGAGGAGCUCGAGGCGGGCAAAGCUCGUGGGGACACCGGGCGAGCCCAGCCCCUGAUCGGACCCACGGGCCGGCCGGGCGCCCUCCCCGCGGGAGACCGAAAGCCGAAGACUGGAGAUGCACUCACCGCGCAACUCCAGCUGACAAAGAGGCCUGCGACCUGCGACGGGCGCACAAACCAGAGAGGCGGCGCGGGGCGGGGAGGGAAGCAGGAGGGUCGCGAGGCCCGCAGCCAAUCCCGGGAAGACUCUGGGCAAGGGCGGGGCGCGCAGCCGAUCCCCUGGAGAGGUCGGGUAGCUCAGCCAAUCCCGGGAAGAUCCUGAGCGGGGCGGGGUGGAGGGCCGCGGCACGCACAGCCAAUCCCGGAUGGGGCGGGACGGGCCCGGCCAUUGGCUGUCGGUGUCCGGGGCCGGCCUAGGUGUGGCUCAUGCAGUAGCACGGGGAUAAGCCAUGUCUGCGCGCGGAGCAUCCUUCUCUGAAUUAGAUUUUUCAGGCUACCUACCAA
RNAcentral lists this long non-coding RNA (2178 nucleotides) under Homo sapiens (human). Its description in RNAcentral is "HSALNT0319591". The record is from RNAcentral. Lineage: Eukaryota; Metazoa; Chordata; Mammalia; Primates; Hominidae.